RNAcentral lists this long non-coding RNA (3630 nucleotides) under Zea mays. RNAcentral's name for it is "long non-coding RNA (ZMAY_LNC005190)". Lineage: Eukaryota; Viridiplantae; Streptophyta; Magnoliopsida; Poales; Poaceae. The record is from RNAcentral.
UUAAAAGUUGAGCGUUCGAAAUUACACAAGCAAGUUCUUCAGGUAUCUCGAGCUUGCCUGUAUAUGGGUUGUUUACCUAUUUACAGGGAGUUAGGGACACCCCAUCGUACAACUUUGUGUGAAGUUACAACCAUGACCUCAAACCCUAUACAUUCAACCAUAGAAUCUACUAGCGGCAUCAUCGUCUUUUUCUCUCAAAGCCUUGGUGCACAUGUUGGUGAGUCCUUUCUUCGUUUUCUUGCCAACGUGCCUCAUAUGCGCAUUUAAGCCGAAUCUUCUUCUAUUCCACUUUUGACCUGCAUUAGUGACCUUCAGGAAAUAUAAAGUGGUUGCUCCUGAAAUAAAUCACAAAAUGGUUAAGAUUAGCUGAUUCUGAGACAUUCGGUAAAGGCCUACCCUCAACGUCCAUCUAUUAAAUGAAUGAUCAUAAAAGUUCAUUUCGUCUCACCUUGAUUGCAAAGCAGGGUACCUGACUAUGGGUGUGUUUGGCAUGGCUCUGCUCCACCCCAGAGCAGCUCUACUAAACUCUGGGUGGAGCAGCUCUGCUCCAGAGUUUAGAUUGUUUCUCAUAACUAGUGGCAAUGGCGGGUAAAUAACUCAAAACUCCAUGACUAGGUUGUUUUUUUUGGAGUUUUCAGAGCAGCAAAAGAGGUACUCCAAAAAAUUGUACUGCAGCUCCAAAAACUCCAUAGAGUUUAUAACUCUGGAGUUAGGGUGUUUGGCAUGCUCUGGCCAGCUCCUCCUUGGAGUUUUGCUCUGGAGCCAUGCCAAACAGGCCCUAUGUUGCCAUUCCAAAUCACUCGUCUACUUCAAAAAAAAAAACCUUGAAUCAUCGACCACUAUGGACAUGUAAAUUAAGAUCCAAAUCGAGAUGGAAGAGAACAUCUAACAAUACACAACUUUUCCACAUUUGUUUCAUAAGCCUAAGAAUAAACGGUGAAAUUAGAGAUCACUGACAUUGCAGUUAAGGGCAACAAUUCAGCAAACAGGGUUGCCAAAAAAAAACGAGAGUAAAGACACCAACCAUAUAGAGAUACUACUUUUACAUGGCAAAAUUGUUCGGUAGGGGGCAUUUGUGCCAAGCCUUCAUAAGCCUUGCAUCUGCAUAUGCAUUCCCCGGAGCCCAGCUUGGUUCACAGAAUCACACACAUCCAUACGGAUGCAGGCAUCAAGCAAGCAGCCAGAGAGAGGGGGAAGCACAGGGAGAUGGACAAACAACGACGACGAUGGCCGAGAAGGUAGUAGUAGUACAGCAGCAGCAGCAGCAGCAGCAUCAGCACCAGAGAAGGCAGUAGUAGUACCAGCAGCGGCAGCAGUGGCCAAGCGGGCUUCAACGGGAUAAAUGCAUUCAGAUCUCCAUUCUUAAUGCAAACACUAUAAUCAUCAGGCUGGUAUAUCAAAAUGACUACCCCAUAACAAAACCGAACCAUUGAACUAUUUGCCUCCAAAAUGAACAGAAACUCAAAAAAAAAUUCAAGGUACUAUGCAUUGGCGUUUUUGCAAGUGGAGUGGACUCAUGCUUUCACAAAUAAUCUUCUUUUAGCACAAAAUGCAAUUGUACAUCAGGGAUACUUGUCAAAGCGCUCUCAGCCAGGAUGGUCGAAGUAAAUAAGAAUGGUCUGAUAUUUGGAAUAUGAUAGGCAACACUGGACAAGCCAAGCUUCAAAAGAGCAGAAAGCCAAACAUGAUCAAAGAACAGAAAGCCAAACAUGAUCACAAGAGAAGAGACAACUUGCAAGAAAAUAAGUCGAAUCUGAUAUUGGAAACAGAGAUUCCCCAAGACAGUGAUCAUGCAGUUACUUCCCUGAUACUGGGAACACUGAAGAUGUCCUUGUCCUGUUUCUUGCUAUUACUGUUUUCAUGCAGUCAAUUGUUGUGAUGGCAACUCAUGCAGACUCAAAACAUAACUCUUCCAAACUGCACCAAAAGCGAAAAAAAUAUAUAAUAAAAAAGAAAGAAAGCAAGAGGCACAUGUUACAAGAAAAUAAAUAGGGUUUUCAAAACAAUAUUACAAGAUUGCUGUAGAUUCCCCAAGUCAUCAUACUUUUGCAUCGCAAGAUUGAAUUGGCAACACUGCAGAUGUUCUUGUCUUUCUUCAAUCUUCUCACUAUCUGACAUUUUUCUUAUGCGGUGAAGUGGCAAAAAUAUGACAACACACAAACCAAACAUGUUUCUGAAAGGAAAGGAUCAACAGAUAGUGACUUAAUUCCAGGCAACCAACACCCAAGCUAAAAUGGCUUAUCUCAGUCACAUAUGAGAUGCCAGAAAACUUUUAUGGCCGUAAAUAAGCAUAUAAAAUGCUUUACUCCAGGUUCAAAGGAUAUCUAUCACUAGCAUGGUUCUACACGCAUUAACCUAUCCACCGUGUAAGCUAGAUAAGAAAAUUUGUAUUAGCAUUAGCAUCAGAGAUUCCCCUAGAUAGUCAUCAUGCCAUUGUGCCCCCAUGAACCAGGAGCACAGCAGAUGCAACUUUCUUUAAUUCACAUAAUCUUCCAGUUUUGUCCAUAGGGUUAAAUACUGCAUUUUGUACCUCGAAUAUCAGUCAAGCUAAAGCAAAAUCAUUAAUGUGAUGCUGACCAAAUCACAAGCAGACCACGGUGCAUUGCAGUACUCUAUAAUAGGAACAGCUUUUCAGAUAGUGAUAAAGAACUCGUUAAACAAGUUAAAAAUGAAUUUAGGCACCGCAAUCCAAUCUGGGAUAGCCUUCAUAACUCUUGCAUCUACAUAUGCAUCUCCCGGAGCCUGCUCAGCCAGUCAGUGGUGGAAGAAGGGCGAGGAUAUAUAUAUAUAUAUAGAUAGACAGAUAGAUGCAUGCAUGUGUGUGUAGUAGCUGGUAGUUUCCCUGAGAGAAAAUUACUUAUAAUUUGGAACGGAGCCACGGAGGUAGUAGUCAGGGAGAUCAACGAGCUGAGCUCACAUGACCCACCACAGCGGUCAAGCAGGCUUCGACGGAAAGCACAUUCAGAUCUCCGUUUUUUGUGCAAAGAAUGCUAAUCAUCAGGCUGACGGAUUAGAAUAGCCCCCAUAAAAAUAAAUCGACCAUCUAGUCAGCUCGGAAAUGAGGUUGAAACCACAACCUAUUUACAAGAGAUUAGGCAUUUCUACGAGCGCAUAGAUCCAGGCCCUCAAUAGUCAAUAUCACCAAGAAACAUACCAAAACAAAGUAACUCAGAAGUCAGAACGCGUGCUUUAGAAAGCUGAUUCCUCGAGAUAUGUUUGUAACUUUCACGCGCACUUCAUGGAAUCUGGAAUAAUAGGUUAUCAUCGGAUUUCUGCACCCCCGGCCGAAUCGACAAUCGAGGGCGCCGCAGAUUUACCUGUCAUGCGAUAGAUAAGAUGAGAGAUAGGAAAUAGCACCCAUAAUCUCCCAAAUCAGAUGUUUGCUGCAGUAAACGGCGAAGAAGUGGGUAAGAAGCUGCUGGGUGACGGAUCAUGAGAUGGCCGGUUCCCACGAAUAGGUAGGGCGAGGGUUUCCUUUCCAAAACCCAGAUGCAGGAUUGCAGGCCUUGGGGUUUUGUAGGUAGCGGAAAGGCGGUUUCGUGAGGAUCGUGAAAUCUCAAAGAGAGUCCUCGCGUCCCUUCUCUCUGCUCCAGAUCCAGGCCGAGUGGUUUUGUAGGCAGGUGUAUGGGG